AUCACUUAUGAAACGACUCUCGGCAACGGAUAUCUCGGCUCUCGCAUCGAUGAAGAACGUAGCGAAAUGCGAUACUUGGUGUGAAUUGCAGAAUCCCGCGAACCAUCGAGUUUUUGAACGCAAGUUGCGCCCGAAGCCGUCAGGCCAAGGGCACGCCUGCC
RNAcentral lists this ribosomal RNA (161 nucleotides) under Canotia holacantha. Its description in RNAcentral is "5.8S ribosomal RNA". It matches the Rfam family "5.8S ribosomal RNA". From Rfam's summary of the family: 5.8S ribosomal RNA (5.8S rRNA) is a component of the large subunit of the eukaryotic ribosome. It is transcribed by RNA polymerase I as part of the 45S precursor that also contains 18S and 28S rRNA. The record is from RNAcentral. Lineage: Eukaryota; Viridiplantae; Streptophyta; Magnoliopsida; Celastrales; Celastraceae.